RNAcentral lists this ribosomal RNA (497 nucleotides) under uncultured bacterium. Its description in RNAcentral is "partial 16S ribosomal RNA". It matches the Rfam family "Bacterial small subunit ribosomal RNA", at positions 28 to 507 of the family's 1533-position model. The record is from RNAcentral.
GAUGAACGCUGGCGGCGUGCCUAAUACAUGCAAGUCGAGCGAACAGACGAGGAGCUUGCUCCUCUUACGUUAGCGGCGGACGGGUGAGUAACACGUGGAUAACCUACCUAUAAGACUGGGAUAACUUCGGGAAACCGGAGCUAAUACCGGAUAAUAUAUUGAACCGCAUGGUUCAAUAGUGAAAGACGGUUUUGCUGUCACUUAUAGAUGGAUCCGCGCCGCAUUAGCUAGUUGGUAAGGUAACGGCUUACCAAGGCAACGAUGCGUAGCCGACCUGAGAGGGUGAUCGGCCACACUGGAACUGAGACACGGUCCAGACUCCUACGGGAGGCAGCAGUGGGGAAUCUUCCGCAAUGGGCGCAAGCCUGAUGGAGCCACGCCGCGUGAAUGAUGAAGGUCUUCGGAUCGUAAAACUCUGUUAUUAGGGAAGAACAAAUGUGUAAGUAACUAUGCACGUGUUGACGGUACCUAAUCAGAAAGCCACGGCUAACUACGUG